UUCAAGCCAGGGAUGGCUUCAAUCCUGGAGGCCGCGCUGUCAGUUCCGGUCGGAGUCUGUGGCCUGGAGUGAGCACUAAUGGUUCUUUUUCCAGGCCCGCCCAUGGCCACCCAUGGACCAAUCAGCAUGCACUUCCUCCCUUCUGAACCCAUAAAAACCCCGCUCCCCGGACGCAGCCGGAGUCACGCGAAGUCGGAAGUACCAGCUGCGGGAAGGAGCUGCCCACUGUGCGUCUUCUCAACUUGUUGGGACAACCUUCCUGCGGAAAGGAGAGACAACCUUCCUGCAGAAAGGAGCUACCUGCUUCAGGUCUACUGAGAGCUGUUCUGCCACUCAAUAAAGCUCUUCUCCAUCUUGCUAAGCCUCCAUUUGUCCGCAAUACCUCAUCUCCCUGGACGCAGGACAAGAACUCAGGACCCGCCUGGAGGUGCCCACAGCAGAAUCCACAUGCCGUCCAUCUGGUCCAGCCUCACGCAGAGCCACAACUGUGCUGGCGCCUGGAGCUGCCAGCCCCACUGCAGCAGCCGGACUGACAUUCAGACGUGGAGCAAGUUGGACUGCAUAGGGACCCACCAGUGAGAUGGACGCUGUCUGUAAACGGUUCUCCAGGGAGGCUGCUCUGCCAAGUCUGGUAUUUCAUGAAUAGAUCUGAAAACAGACAUUAUCUCUUCUCCCAGUGAAGAGAGAGCGAUGAAGCCUCAGGACAAAAGGAGGCAGUGGGAUGAUGCCACCAAGGGACCAUUCUGAAGAGCCAUCAGCAAAAAGCAGCCACACCUGCUUAUGUGGCUCUGGGACAAAUGAUCUGAGCCGUGACGUGGAACUUAGAUGCAGUAAAGUCCAUUGUAUUGAGCCUUCUCUGGCACUCCUCCCAAAACAGAGAGACAACAGUUCUGUUAUGUUUUGUUUGGUUUGGUCUCCCUCAACUCAUCAAUGAGCCUUUUUAAAAAGAAUAAUUCGGUACUUUCUUUAAAGGUGGUAGAAUUGGCUCUUACUCUAGUCUGUUUUCUCCUUCCUAAGGGAGGAGCAUCCUUCUUGUUAACACAGAACCCCAAACUAUCUGAUCAGAAAGAAAAUAAUUCAAUCUGCUGUUUGAAUUGACUUCCAGCAGCGUCUUAAAUUUUAAUUGGCCCCCGGCCUAAAACAACCUCAAACUGUAUGUCUUCCAUACUCCUCUCACCACCACCAUCACCACUGCCCCUACAACCACUCUAAGCAUAGUACAUAUGGUGAACAUACCAUGAUAUUGAAUGCUAUUCUCACUCUGCCUUCUCUUAAUCUGAUCUUACUCAGGUUCUGACAGUUGACGCUGAAAACAUUUUUUGUUGUUGUUGUGGUUGAGACAGAGUUUCGCACUUGUUGCCCAGGCUGGA
RNAcentral lists this long non-coding RNA (1370 nucleotides) under Homo sapiens (human). RNAcentral describes it as "HSALNT0383314". The record is from RNAcentral. Lineage: Eukaryota; Metazoa; Chordata; Mammalia; Primates; Hominidae.